Molecule: RNA transcript, 721 nt
Organism: Gossypium arboreum
Lineage: Eukaryota; Viridiplantae; Streptophyta; Magnoliopsida; Malvales; Malvaceae
Exons: 5
Source: RefSeq, a predicted model, not a curated record
ACUAAAACUAAAGUCUAAAAGUCUAAACUCAAUAGUGAACAGAAGACUGAAAAAAAAACCUAACCUUCAACUUCAAAUCCCUAAUUAAAAACUCCCCAAAUCUCUGCCAGGCCAGCCACCUUUCGUCCAGGCACUCUGGCGUCUACCAGGUCACCAUCCAUCACCGGCGAGUUGAGAAUGUCAACCGAACCAAUAUCUAUUGAGGGUAGUGUUACACCUCCUACUUCGAUAGAUUCUGAAAAUUCGGGAGUUGGAGCUUCAAACCAAACAAAGAGGACUACCGGGAAAAGAAAAGCCACUCCUCAAAGAGAUAUGCUAGCUAUCUCGGUUUAUACGGUUGCUUUAGAGUCUACAUUUAGCAUCGGGGGACGUGUGCUUGAUCAAUAUAGGAGUUCUUUAACUCCUAAAAUUGUACAAGCUCUUAUGUGCACUCAAGAUUGGAUUCGAAAAUCAUCAUCACAAGAAGACAUCAAAAAGAUUGAAGAACAAAUCCAAGAGCCUGACAAGAUUGAAAAUGACUUUUCUUGGAAUGCAUCAGAGCCUACCCUAAAUUCAUGAGCUUUCGUGAGUUCAAGGGUUUAAUACAAAUGGAGAUCUUUUGGAGAGAAGAAAUGGAUACAAAUGGAGAAUAUUAAAGACUUACAUUUCAAUUAUGUGUUAAUUUCAAGACUUAUGUAAUAUUUUUAAUUAUGUAGUGAUUCAAUUCGGUUAAUUUGGUUAA